Molecule: ribosomal RNA, 465 nt
Filed under: Vreelandella stevensii
Lineage: Bacteria; Pseudomonadati; Pseudomonadota; Gammaproteobacteria; Oceanospirillales; Halomonadaceae
Description: partial 16S ribosomal RNA
Rfam family: Bacterial small subunit ribosomal RNA
Source: RNAcentral
CCUACGGGGGGCUGCAGUGGGGAAUAUUGGACAAUGGGCGAAAGCCUGAUCCAGCCAUGCCGCGUGUGUGAAGAAGGCCUUCGGGUUGUAAAGCACUUUCAGUGGGGAAGAAAGCCUUGGGGCUAAUACCCUCGAGGAAGGACAUCACCCACAGAAGAAGCACCGGCUAACUCCGUGCCAGCAGCCGCGGUAAUACGGAGGGUGCGAGCGUUAAUCGGAAUUACUGGGCGUAAAGCGCGCGUAGGCGGUCUGAUAAGCCGGUUGUGAAAGCCCCGGGCUCAACCUGGGAACGGCAUCCGGAAACGUCAGGCUAGAGUGCAGGUGAGGAAGGUAGAAUUCCCGGUGUAGCGGUGAAAUGCGUAGAGAUCGGGAGGAAUACCAGUGGCGAAGGCGGCCUUCUGGACUGACACUGACGCUGAGGUGCGAAAGCGUGGGUAGCAAACAGGAUUAGAUAACCUAGUAGUC